Long non-coding RNA from Papaver somniferum (opium poppy), 490 nucleotides. RefSeq lists it as uncharacterized. Lineage: Eukaryota; Viridiplantae; Streptophyta; Magnoliopsida; Ranunculales; Papaveraceae. The record is from RefSeq and is a predicted model, not a curated record. The transcript has 2 exons.
UCUUUUUGGAGAUACCACAGAGAGAUUUUCUCCCUUCUCCCAUGACUGAUCUUCACUCAAAUCGAACUCGAUCAAAAUAUAUUUUAGCUUUCAAAACAAAAUUGGAGCAGAACCCGUCAUUCCUAUCCGGUGAAGGAUUUGUCUUCCGUAGAGAGUACGAGAGGAGCUUGCAGCAGUAAGCUAGGAAAAGCUUACGGCAGGCCUUGAAAAGCAUAGAAAGUUAGUAUUUUGUCUUGUUUAAUAUGUAUAUCACGGGAUGGAUCUGGGGUAGUCUUAUGUUGCUUAUAAACCAUGCUUUUAUUUUAUUUUGGUGUACAUAAAAAUGUGGGGGAUCUUGUUUGCUGGAUAGUUUUAUGUCGGUGUAACAAAUUUGCAUCUUGUCGUAUUUUGCUCCGUAUGUAAAUAGAACUGCACUAGCUGGUCUCUUUUCUGUCUAAUCUCAAUGUGUAUUACAACUCACCUUAUAUAUAUGGUCACCAUCUUUUGGAUC